Molecule: long non-coding RNA, 415 nt
Filed under: Mytilus galloprovincialis (Mediterranean mussel)
Lineage: Eukaryota; Metazoa; Mollusca; Bivalvia; Mytilida; Mytilidae
Source: RNAcentral
CCCGAAUGUUGAUGCAAAUAUUAUAUGUUAAACAUGUCAAAGUCUGCCACUUAAUUGAUUAGGAAAUUUUUAUACUGACAAAUUAAAUACAAAUGUUUACUCUACCUCUUGCUCUGUUUUGUCUCUGAAGCAUAAACAUGAUGCACGACGACGGAAGCCUUCGGCAUCGUAUGUCCUUAUUGAAUUAGGCUUUUCUUUCAUGGCAAUCUAAAUUUGAUAGCUAAAUGAAACGCUUAUAAAUAUUUCAAUUAUUAGAUAAGUUUUCAAAAUGUUAUUUCAAUGUCAUGUUUUGACAUUCAUCUUCUAAAGAAAACUGAACAUGGAUACAUGCUUCACAACUUAAAUUUCCCACAAUGCACCUUCCCUUUAUUUACAUUUUUUCAACUUUAAGAUCCUCCCAAAAAGAUAGGAGAAC